CGUCGCGGGGGAGGAGACAGCAGACAGAGCGCCAGAAGAGGAGAGGGGGGUACCGGAGGCGGCUUUAGGGGUUGCGGCUGUGGCGCCUGGGGUUGGGAUCGGGGUUGGGGCGGCGGGCAAGCGGCAGUGGAGGCGAGGGCGGCGCGUUCGCGGCGGAGAGGGAGAGGGGAAGUGCCAGGUGGAGGGGGUCCGCGAGGCACAGAGCGAGGGCGAGGGGGGCGCUGGCGGCAUCGGCGUCGGCGUCGGCCUCGGCAUCGGCGUCGGCGUCGGCAUCGGCGUCAGCGUCAGCCUCGGCAUCAGGCGCGGUCGGGCUUCCGUUCGCCGCCGCCGUUUUGCUGGAGUGGCAGCUCCGCACGGCGCUGAUGGACGCGCUGUCCACGUGGGCGAGGCUGGAGCUCACGUUCAUACGCGUGGGCGUGGUUAGGCAAAGGCAGCUGGCCCUGAGGUUCCACUGGCGUACGCGGCUAAGCGACUCCUUGUUGACGAAGGCCCCGUCUUGGACGGCGAUGAUGGUGGGCGGAGGAGUAUAUGUCCUCAGGAACGACUCUAGUUAACCAAACCUGCAGGGUGGCCACUUCUGCCAAACGUCUCUAAAGCGUGCACCCGCUACAAGUUCUAGUCGUUUGCUCACGGCGAAGAACGUGGUAAGUAGACAAGUUCUCACACGUUAACAAACGGUUCUAAAGAACGCACCCUCCACACUGGCAUAUAGUACAUCCAUGUGAGUACAAUAUCGUGUUGGUUACGAUGGGGGUGGUUACUCCCUACAAGGGUACGUUUACGGUAUAGGACUCUACCAAAUGUACGGUGGUGGUGGUGGUGGUGACCCUCAUGGAUACUACCGAGGAGGAGAGAGCGGAGGAUCUCCAAAACGACUAUUGUUCUCGUGUCACCUUCAAACGUCCCUGAUGAACUUCUUUUACACGUUAUCUCUUAGUACAUCUAAACGUGUGGGACUAAGUGUUUGACUCCACCGUGUACUGUUCCAACUUCAAACGGCACUAAAAUUUGCUCCUCUUACGUGAGCUGGAUGUACGGCGAAAAUGGUGGGUAGGAGUUCGACUUCAAGACAAUCUAUUUCAUUUCAUUGGGUAUAGGUCACUAAUAAAAAAAGAAGAGGUUUAGACCUUAGUCUGAUCAUUAUAUACCGACGACUUAUGUAUUCAUUGUAUUGUGUUCUCCGGUAUAUGGAAUCUUAUGAAAUAGAGAUCAAUUGGAAAUUGUAAUUAAGGAAAACCUAAACAGGUAAGUUUUAUCGACCUCGUUACGAUUGAAAAAAAAUCCUAACGGUGUAAAAAAGACAGUUUACAAGUACAGUAUACUUAUUAGUUUACACACGAUCUCCCCGUGGUAAACUAUGUAAACAUACAGGUACACUUAAUCCCCACCGGUACGAUCUUUACAAAACCAGAUUCUAACGUUAAAAACAGGUAGUCUACCAGUAGGUAAAAACGAUUCGACUGUACACGACAAGAUUACAACAUUAUACCCUAAUAAAACCAGCAGAAACUAAGGUAUAGUCUACAGUGAGUCAAAAUAUACUAGUUGAUACAAGACAUCGGUCUACUCGAGAAGGAAAAUACAAAGAGAAUCUACGUACUUGAGGUAUUGUCGCUGUUCAAUGGACAAUCUAUCCAAAUCACAAGAUCUCAUAGUACGUUCAAACACCACAACCCUGAUCCAAACAUAUAAAGACUACUUAAUAUCCAAGUAUACAGACUACUUUACCCGGACAGUAUACAAGUCGAUUACGUAAAGGGGAGGUAAGUUACUUGAAAAAUUCAUAACACCAUCUACUCAAUAAGUAAAUACCGGUUCUUAAGAACGUUCACAAUGAUACCAACACGAACAUUAUCAGAUUUCUCUUUUACUCAAUACAAAAAUAUAACUAGAAGGUCACCAGGUCGUAGGAUUAUUUAUCACACGAGAUUGUCGAAGUUUCAACACGAGACUAUUGGAUCAGUAGACCGUACUUAGUACGGAUUGAGUCACACAAAAUCACAUUCUAGACCACCUUCAACUGAUGAUAUGAUGUAUUUUGAGGUAACCGGUUACCCAGUCAGUCACACAUCGAACGACUAAAACGGAAAUAAUUUGUUCAACUUACGAGUCUCAAUAGUAACAAAUCAAAAAAUCAAAAUUAAAUCGAGACAAAUUGUUCACCUAUGAGGAACAAAGGAGUCAGAAAGUACGGGGCGAGACGACGACGACGGCGGCGGCGACGACGAUUAGGACGAUGGCGACGCUUUCUCGACGACGCGACCGACAAUACUACGAUUCCACGGUAUCUCAUACUCUGGCAGCGUUCACGAUACAGAGACCUUCCUUUUGUUUUGAACAAUGAUAGCACACUACAAGUCUACCAAACGAACUUGAACUGAGUCGAGGCUUCAUCAGAAGAAGUGUUACCUGAAACGUACACGCCAACCACAUAAACGCAAGUAUUUCUACAAAAUCUGAAAAGCGACGCUAAACGAAACCACAAAACGUAUUAACUUAGAACAAAUGGUAGUGAACAUUGGAAAAUGUGUAACAACGAAGUAGAACACGCGGCGGUAGAUCAGAUCAAGUUUAAACUUGGUAGGAACCUAAAAGACCACGGUUUUUAUGUAGGCCUGCCCUAAGUUUGGAGGUUAAUACAUGGCUCACUUACCUCCGACGGUUGUAUCGGGUUACUUUUAACAACUAAAUGGCAGCGCCGGCACUGAAGAACUUGGCAAACACCGGCAUCGCAACGGG
This 2739-nucleotide ribosomal RNA is filed under the name Triticum aestivum (bread wheat). RNAcentral's name for it is "partial small subunit ribosomal RNA". Lineage: Eukaryota; Viridiplantae; Streptophyta; Magnoliopsida; Poales; Poaceae. The record is from RNAcentral.